CCAGCACCUGUCCAGUGAAACAACUUGAUAAUCGUUUCGAGGGGCGUCCGCCGGGUUAGGAAGCCACUGCCUGGCAGCUUGUGGAAGCCUCAUUUGCAAAGCCACCCCUCAGAUGUUUUGAAGAUCGUGACGUCUUGUAACUAGCAGUGUGUGCACAGAAUCCUACUCAAGGAACGUCUUGGCCCAGCGAUGCAAAGAACUGAAGUUUCAAGGUUUUAUGUCUAUUGCUGGAUGGUCGGGGUAGCCCCAGUAACUGGGAACUGCUCCGCAGUCCGCUCACGUGGACCCCUGUGGGAAUAGCAAGCUGGAAGAGCCUGUAUUGUCCUCACAAUAGUAUAGAAGAAUUCAAGAGAGGAGAGAGAGACAGCACCGAAUGAAGACUGUAAAAGAAAAGAAGGAAUGCCAGAGAUUGAGAAAAUCUGCCAAGACUAGGAGGGUAACCCAGAGGAAACCGUCUUCAGGGCCUGUUUGCUGGCUAUGCCUUCGAGAACCUGGGGAUCCCGAAAAAUUAGGGGAAUUUCUUCAGAAAGACAAUAUCAGCGUGCAUUAUUUCUGUCUUGCUGGGUGCAGUGGCUCACGCCUGUAAUCCCAGCACUCUGGGAGGCCGAGGCAGGAGGAUCUCUUGAACCCAGGAGUUCAAGACCAGCCUGGGCAACCUUGUCUCUACA
Molecule: long non-coding RNA, 668 nt
Filed under: Homo sapiens (human)
Lineage: Eukaryota; Metazoa; Chordata; Mammalia; Primates; Hominidae
Description: HSALNT0054677
Source: RNAcentral